Oncorhynchus keta (chum salmon) is the source of this 151-nucleotide long non-coding RNA. RefSeq lists it as uncharacterized. The record is from RefSeq and is a predicted model, not a curated record. The transcript is spliced from 3 exons. Lineage: Eukaryota; Metazoa; Chordata; Actinopteri; Salmoniformes; Salmonidae.
CUGUGACGUUGUGGUCAGGUUAGGGUUAGAUGUACUCACACUGUGACGUUGUGGUCAGGUUAGAUGUACUCACACUGUGACGUUGUGGUCAGGUUAGGGUUAGAUGUACUCACACUGUGACGUUGUGGUCAGGUUAAGGUUAGAUGUACUC